RNAcentral lists this unclassified non-coding RNA (556 nucleotides) under Hevea brasiliensis (rubber tree). The record is from RNAcentral. Lineage: Eukaryota; Viridiplantae; Streptophyta; Magnoliopsida; Malpighiales; Euphorbiaceae.
GUUCUUGCAGAGGAGGGGUAUCUCUCAAAGGCGUUCAUAUGGCUCCCCGUCUCUUAAAGCAUAGAUGAGAGUGAGAUGGUCAAACAAUGCCCUCCAUCCUCUAUUUUUCGGGAGACAUGGCCUUGGUGCUAUCCUUACUUUUUUGGUAUGCUAUUUUGGUCCUUCCCGAUUAUGGGUGCAUUUGGCUUGGGUCUCUUCCUUUAAGGCUUAGCUGUGACUUGGUCCCUUUCGAUGCUUCUUUUGGCUUUUCUUCCUCAGGUGAAGGUUCGACUGUGGAUUUGCGGUGAUUCAAUUGUUUGGUUUCCUUUCGUGCGUCAAUAAGAAGAAAUCUCCACCAGUGUCAAUCCUGCCAAUCAAGCUGCGGUGAUACAAGCUUCUCUAGUCUCAAUUUACAACGUGAAGGUUUCUCCUCCUACGAGUCACAGGUUCAAGCAUGAAGCUAUCUCUAUUAGGAUUUCAUGUUGUAGGCUUGAGCCUUCAACUUAAACUGGGGUAGGUUUUGCAUUCAAAGAAAAUUUCUUUUAGGUCAUAGGAUCCGAGAAGGAAGUCAAAUUCA